UUAAAAUUGAGAGUUUGAUCCUGGCUCAGGACGAACGCUGGCGGCGUGCUUAACACAUGCAAGUCGAGCGAUGAAGCUUCCUUCGGGAAGUGGAUUAGCGGCGGACGGGUGAGUAACACGUGGGUAACCUGCCUCAAAGUGGGGGAUAGCCUUCCGAAAGGAAGAUUAAUACCGCAUAACAUAAGAGAAUCGCAUGAUUUUCUUAUCAAAGAUUUAUUGCUUUGAGAUGGACCCGCGGCGCAUUAGCUAGUUGGUAAGGUAACGGCUUACCAAGGCAACGAUGCGUAGCCGACCUGAGAGGGUGAUCGGCCACAUUGGAACUGAGACACGGUCCAGACUCCUACGGGAGGCAGCAGUGGGGAAUAUUGCGCAAUGGGGGAAACCCUGACGCAGCAACGCCGCGUGGGUGAUGAA
Molecule: ribosomal RNA, 414 nt
Filed under: Clostridium sporogenes
Lineage: Bacteria; Bacillati; Bacillota; Clostridia; Eubacteriales; Clostridiaceae
Description: bacterial SSU rRNA
Rfam family: Bacterial small subunit ribosomal RNA
Source: RNAcentral